Molecule: ribosomal RNA, 498 nt
Filed under: Triticum aestivum (bread wheat)
Lineage: Eukaryota; Viridiplantae; Streptophyta; Magnoliopsida; Poales; Poaceae
Description: partial small subunit ribosomal RNA
Source: RNAcentral
AUGCAGCGAGUUCAUAAGUGGAUCGCACUGGGCGCCGAUGUAGUAAAAAUUAAUGUUGACGGGGCCAUAUCCCGCAACGGCAAGACAGGGCCGGCUGCAGUGAUUUGCAGGGACAAAGAUGGCAACUAUUUGGGCGCAUCAGCAGUCACCAUUGAAGGCCUGGUCGAUCCAACAAGUCUUGAAGCACAUGCAUGUAGCGAGGCUCUUGCUCUGGCGCGAGACUUAAACGUCACACAUGCGAUCAUAGCCUCAGAUUGCAUGCAAGUAGUGCCGAAUAUCCAUGGGAGGACACUAUCUUCAUAUUCUUUGGUUAUAGAUGAAAUAAAGGAGUCUAUGAAUGACUUUGUAAACAUUAGUUUUCGUUAUGAGUGUAGGGAAGCAAACUUGGAAGCUCACGCCAUUGCUAAGACGGCUUCAGCGUUUCCCUCUGGUCGCCGUUUGUGGCUAGGGACCUUACCAGACAUUGCCUGUAUCGCUCCGGCUUUGAACCUUGAAUAA